UGUUGCCUGGAAAAUCAAUGGCAAAUAUUUUGAUUAGAAUUAUUGAAAACAUUUAUGAUUUAUGAAACAAUGAAAUUAAAUUUUUCAGGAGACAGUCUAGUAUUAUGGACUCAACGCCGAAGAUGAUCUUCGUUAAUGAAUGCAUAAUUAAAUUCUGAAAGUUACUACGAUAUGCAUAUACAUGAACGUGAUCGAAGAAGCGAAAAUUUAUUAUACUUGUUUCCAGCCUUUAUUAAUUUAUCGAAGAGCGCGUGUUAAAACGUAUAGACGUUUCACAACUAUCAGAUAAUUUUCUCUUUUCAAAAAUUUACACGAGACUUUCGUUCCAUUGGUGAGAUAUUAGACGAAGAAAAUUAUAUCAAGAUGCGAAGAAUUCCCACGAAAGUGUAUGCACCAGCAUUCCAUGCAGUCUGCUCCAUAAACGGAAUGUUUAAUACGGGUCUGUGGGCAAAACAAGAGGAUCGUCGUUUCGUAGAAUGAACCCUCUUAAAUCAUUCACAGUGAAAGUUGUCGAAUUAAGUAAAAUUAACUUGGUCCAUAAAAUUUCAGAAUUUUCGGGACCUUCCUUCUCACGACGGGAUUAUGGAUUCGUUCUGGAGGGAAAGAAGCGUACGUUGACGAAGAUUUUAUCGAGCCACGUCCACGAUGCGCAAAGGCGAGGUUCACACGUUUCUAGAAGCUCACCUCGAGCCACGAACUUUCAUCCUGCACGGUGAAAUUAAUCGUAAAAUCGUCCGUACACGGGGCCUCUGUGGUUUCUUCCGAUGCCAAUUCUAAUAAACGUGAUCUUGUUACAUUAACAAAGAUCAUUUUUUUCACAGCGCCUUCAGCAAUUUGAAAAAAGGCAACUCAUAGCCAUCUCCGAUUGAAGGUAUAUCAAAUGACAGAUACUAAGAAAUGGAGUUGUACGGAUCAUUGAUCAUAGAAUUUUUUAGAUCGUAAGAUACAUACAUUUAUUCAUGUAACUGUUAGGAGUACCAUGUCACGCGUCUGUAAAACAAGUCGGUGAAAGAAACUCCUAGCCACAACAUGUUACGCGACAUCUUCGUGACUGGUAAUUGCUAUCGCGUUAAAAUCUGUUACCGUUGUCGAGGUCAUUGAGAACAAACGCAUGAACCUGCCGUGACUACGGAACAUGGUUUCCCUCGAUGCACACGAGAUAUGCAAGCAUCCUUACAAAAUAGAACACCGUAUCGUUCGAAGAUGCAACCUACAAUUAAAUCAACUUUCUGAUAUUAAUUUACAUUUUUUUACAGAGAUAGCACGAGACUUUAGGGAGACGCCUGGCUGUCGACGAACUUUCACACAGGUCGUUGAAAUCACCGAAAAGGAAAAGCGAUUUUCAUUUCUUUCAAUGUAUCGGACGGGCCAGGAAUAACACGCUUCUGUUCGCAAAGUCAAGAGAAAAUUGCGUUCCGUUGACUUAACGAGUUAAGUGUAUACACGGGUCGAUGGAAAAAUGUUGGUAUCGUUAAACGAAUAGUAUACCUCUGACAUUUGCAAAGAAAGCUGUAUUAGAAGAGGAGCUGUGUAACGGAGUGACACUUAUGAAUGCUCGUGAGCAGGAACAACGAAGUCCAUCGUGAUGUUUGCUUUGUCUGCGAUAUGAAAGGGCGGCAGACGUCGUACAAUUGAAUACCAAUGAAAAUUCGCACGGUGUGUCGUUUGGAAAGCAGUCUGAUUUGCUCACAAUGCUCAUCCUCAGGUUUGAUGAAAGAGCAGAUACAAGCUUGAGGAAUCGUUUCCGUAUGGACAGACAGCUGUGACACGCCCGUACAGAAGACAGCGUAAACAUCUUUAGAAAGUUUCUAAAUCGGCAAAUGAUAGUAGCCUUCGUUGGUCCAGCAUCUCAUUAAUAUUUCGUGAAGACGUCGAAGAAAUGAAACGAAAAUGUGUUAUGGACAGAGGCGGGCACGUCUACGCUUUCAGCGUGGGUUUCACUUUCGAAAAUCUUGUUACCUGUAUGAUCGUUUGACACCAUUCGUUCUCUAUAUUUUUGCAUGACAAAUUAUACUCUGCGAUUUGGGAAGAAGUUUCACGCGACCUCAUAUGCUGAUAACGAGUUAACAUAAUGAUCUUAGGUAUUCUGAAGAACCACCUAUUAACAACUAUGUUACUUUCUUCUGAUGGUUUUAGAAUAAGAAUAGAAUAAUUUCACAACAAUUUCACAGACAAAUUGUGCCUUCGUCAUUCAUGCCGGAAGCAGCUUACAAAAGGAGAUGAAUUAUUUCAGUAACACCUGUUUCAGGAAUAUUUUCAUUGAUAAUUGACUUUCUACGAUUUUCCAGGAGAGGAUUCCUCAGCCUAUCAUUUUCCAACAUGCAAGCAGGUGAAUUUCUCCGCAUAGCGAGCGUCUAGUCUAUUAGAAAAUAGCGAAGCUGCAGCAGCAAAUUAUCGACGAUUAAAAUUUAAGAAGGAUUCUUGACAGAAGAACGAAAUCUUCAGUUUCGUACUUAUUAUCAUGGAUUCAGAUACAUCCAGACAAUUGAAGACGAGGGUGAAUGGAUCAUCUGAAAGGAUCAUACGAGGAAUCUGUGUUAAAAUUCUUCGUCGCACGAUUCGUUGCGUCACACAAUGCAAAGAUCUUAAUCAUUGAUGCAUCGUUAAUAAGGAAUUAUUAUUGUAACGCUUAUGUUGCUCACGAUCAGUUUUUGCUUUGACUUCAAAUGGAUAUCAGUUUUAAUUUCUACAGGAUCUUAAUUUAGUUUAAGUAUUGAUCGAUAGUAUCAAUUUUCUUUUGAGAUGCAAUAAUUUCAAAGUUGUUAAUUAACUGAUGAUCAGCUUAUUAACUGAUCAGAGUUACUCUCAUGCAAUAGUAAUGAGAGUGAGCCAGUCAAGCUCUAAUUACUCUAGUAAUACUUCAAUUUCAUGCGAUAUUUCAUGUUGCUGCUUUUCUUUAUUAAUUAUCAAUGAUAACAACUUUUUACAUCAAUUGACUGUGAAAUGACUAAUUAUCAGAUUCUCGAAUCAUUGAGAAUCGAAAACAGAGCCCACACAGUGUAUCAAGAAUUCAUUCAGGUUUAAUUAUCAGGCAUGCGAUAAUUGGGAUCAUUGAACGCACAAAAUACUCCUUGAGGAGAGGAGGAAUGUUUCGAGUAGUUAAUGAACGAUUAGUAGCGUGCGAUUGGAAGCAAAAUACCGUGAGAGAGACUACAGUCCUCGAAUAAGAGGAGACAGGACGAGAAGGAAGAUGAAGAGAAGAUGCCGCGGUCAUGAAGGCGGUACUUUCACUCGGCAGUGUGUCGAGGAUGUGCACGCUCGUGAACUUGCCACGAUCAGCGUAAAAAGCUUCGACGAUACGAGUAAAGAGCUCGAGUUUUGUCACGUGUGAGCUCUGAAUCCGUCGAGGAUCUCCGGCACGACGCGUUUAACCGCGUUCAUGCCGAACUGUUUGAAAAGCGAAACUUUUCUUGGAUCAAGUUCUUUCAAUUAAACUUGAGGUCAAUUUUUAGACAGUCAAGCAAUGAAUUAUUAUUAGAAAUGUAGCUUAUAGUUUAUGAUAAAUUACUCCAGGGUAGAAAAGAAAGAAAUGAUUCAUAUUUCGAGCAGGUCGAAACAGAAACGCGGAAACGCUGUCACGUGAAAGCGCGUUUUCAGUGUCGCCAAGUACGCGACGAUUAUACAACCGAGUCCUUGGCGUUGAAUAAUGCAUAGGUCCGGCAAGAAGAUGCAACGAAUCGAGCGAGGUGCAAUUAACUUGCAACGUACAGUGGUACGCGACGAAACGCAUAGCGGUGCGACGAGUGAAAGUCGAGGAUGACAGCUUUGUAAUGAACGUUGAAGGAACGUCCUCGUUCGGAACAAUUUGCUGGAUGAGCCAUGUAACUGGACGGACCUCCGUGAUCGAUUUCCUCCGAUGAGAGCUCGAUGGAAAGCGAUCGAAAGAAAUCGUUCAUGAGAAAGAGUUCAAGGAUGUGAUAUAAGGUUUGAAAUCAGAUGGUAUUCGAGUUGAAGACAAAAUUGAUGUCUGCUUUUUAUCUUAAUGGAAUGAUCAAUGAAGAGUUGAUAUUGGGUCACGCGUCAUCGUCGAACAGAGAAAAAACUUUCUUCUCGGAGGAUCGAAAAGAUGCCACCUGCUUAAGGUACAAUGAACCCAUCGCAUAGAAUAUCCACACCCAAAUCGAGGCUCUCUUUGUAAAAAUUUUCAAGAGACACAGUCAUUCGUCUUUGUCUACCUUGGGCGAUACAAAUCAGCUGUACUAUUCCCAGUUCAUUUGUCAAUACACAAUAAAAGUGUGUUAAUGCGUGAAACACACGGUAAUUGCUUCGGAAAUUGUUCAAAGUUAAUUUGGAAAUUGCGUGGAAGAGCGGAGUCAUUAAGAAGACUUUAGAGGCAAGCAAGAGAAUGACAAAAUUAGAGAAGAGAGAAGAAAAGGAUACCGUUUCUGUGCCAGCGGUGUUUCAUUUUAAUUCAAGGCAAGGUCAGGAGAAAUGAGACGUUUUUACGAGUUUCAUGGUGAAACGACAAACGGUUUUAAGUGAUAGAAGGAAAACCGCAGCCGUAACCGCAAUAUAUUAAGUUUCCUUUCUUGUGUAAAUUACACCCAUAGAUUAAUAAGAAGUAUCCGUAUCGUUUCAGUUCAUUAACUCUGGAAAGCUGCCGUAUCAUUGCAUUCUCCAAAAAAAAACGAGAAACGUAUAAAAUCCAGACUGUUAACACGUUCCAUAUUUAAUUUUAAUUGCAAUUAAUUGCUCCAGUGAGAGACACGCUCUUGUACCACAUAACAAAUAGGUUGCUGGAAUGAAGGAAAGAAUUAAUUCGCUCCGUUAACGGUGUUCUCUUCAAAGUAGACAAGAUUCGAGCAAAUGGAUCGUUAAAAUGAAAUGAAUUUCCGCGGCUGCAGGAACAACGUGGUAAGAGGGAAAGAGUUCAAAGGAAAGCGGUACGAUGACCGAAAGAAAGUUUUUAAUGAUAAAGGAAUCUUGUUGGAAGCAACGAAAUUAAGAAUAUUUAGAGAUUCAAGGAUAAUAGCAAUGGAAAAAAGAAAAUGGAAAAUGUGUUUCAAAGGUAACAAUGAUGUUGAAAAGGAAAUGCCUUCGUACACCUGUGAAUACCUGAAUCGGGGGCCCCACAAACACGGGAGAAGAAAGUCGCCUGCACACAGAAUGCUCAUCGGGAACUUCUUCUGGGUAGAAAUCUGAAUUUUUCCAGCAUUGAGUCGCACGGCACAACUAACUUUCGAUUGCCGACGCGUCCGCAGGAUUUAUAAGUACGUUUCUCGACAACAACAUGCUAGAGGAUCUAAAAGAUUAUCUAUCAGGAGAAACUUACUUCUACCAUCCUGAACCAGCACGUGUACACAAUGGAAGAAUAUCUAUUAUCUUUUCACUCGAACACUUUUCACUUGUAGCGACUGAUUUUCACUGUCACACGGUUUACACGAAUGGAAGAAUCAUCACCGUUGGAAAGACAGGUGCAACAGAGGUUGAGUGAAGGAAACCAGAGGUGAUAGUGAAAAAGAAAGAGAAACUUGCCGGUGAAGAGGUACAAUGAAUGAGUGGUUUCGUACUCACCAAGCUCAUGAUGCUGUCUGUGCCCACGCUCGGUUAGCAUGCGGCUUUUACUCAGGAAGAUCAUCUUCAAGUAGUGAUAGUUUUAAGGAAGAGGAGGGAGGGGUCCGCGAUGUUGAUACACGUGUAUACCGCAUACCAACGUGAAACGUUUCUUUCGCUAUUUUCCAUACUAUUCGAUAGACAUUGAGCGGCCCAUUUUCGUGCAAUGCUUGUUGUUUCUGCAUUAUUCUUGUGAAUGAAACAGGAAUUUAUCAAUCAGAUUCAUGCAAAUGUUAAAUAUUGUUAUUUUCAUACGAUUUUUGAUAGAUCAUUGUUUUAAAUAUAUUUUGAACAUAUUCUUUAAUAUAAUUUUGAAAGAUUAUUUUAAAUAUUGGCGUAGUUAAUAGUUUAUAGACCCUCGAUUAUGAAAUUUAGUUCAUUCAAAUUCAAAUUCUUGUAUUGUAGACGAGAAGAAAAUUUGUCAUACGAAGGAAAGUAUUCGGGAAAGUAUUGCUAAACGAUUAUGCAAAUAUUUGAAGUGACGGAAGCGCAGACGGUUUCUUAUGAAUCCAUCAAUUUCUAUAAGAAAAAAAAUAUUAAGAAAGUUUUAA
Osmia lignaria (orchard mason bee) is the source of this 6104-nucleotide non-coding RNA. NCBI's taxonomy places the organism in Eukaryota, Metazoa, Arthropoda, Insecta, Hymenoptera, Megachilidae. The record is from RefSeq and is a predicted model, not a curated record.